UUCGCCCUUAGAGUUUGAUCCUGGCUCAGAACGAACGCUGGCGGCAUGCCUAACACAUGCAAGUCGAACGAGAUCUUCGGGUCUAGUGGCGCACGGGUGCGUAACGCGUGGGAAUCUGCCCUUGGGUUCGGAAUAACUUCGGGAAACUGAAGCUAAUACCGGAUGAUGACGUAAGUCCAAAGAUUUAUCGCCCAAGGAUGAGCCCGCGUAGGAUUAGCUAGUUGGUGAGGUAAAGGCUCACCAAGGCGACGAUCCUUAGCUGGUCUGAGAGGA
This 273-nucleotide ribosomal RNA is filed under the name uncultured Sphingomonadaceae bacterium. Its description in RNAcentral is "partial 16S ribosomal RNA". It matches the Rfam family "Bacterial small subunit ribosomal RNA", at positions 1 to 300 of the family's 1533-position model. Lineage: Bacteria; Pseudomonadati; Pseudomonadota; Alphaproteobacteria; Sphingomonadales; Sphingomonadaceae. The record is from RNAcentral.